RNAcentral lists this ribosomal RNA (253 nucleotides) under uncultured bacterium. RNAcentral's name for it is "partial 16S ribosomal RNA". It matches the Rfam family "Bacterial small subunit ribosomal RNA", at positions 524 to 776 of the family's 1533-position model. The record is from RNAcentral.
UACGGGGGGGGUAAGCGUUGUUCGGAAUUACUGGGCGUAAAGGGCGCGUAGGCGGCCUUCUAAGUCGAACGUGAAAUCCCUGGGCUCAACCCAGGAACUGCGUCCGAUACUGGAAGGCUUGAAUCCGGGAGAGGGAUGCGGAAUUCCAGGUGUAGCGGUGAAAUGCGUAGAUAUCUGGAGGAACACCGGUGGCGAAGGCGGCAUCCUGGACCGGUAUUGACGCUGAGGCGCGAAAGCGUGGGGAUCAAACAGG